AUGGCACUCCGGAGGCUGCUUCAGGGGAUUGUCCUACCGCGGACGACGGGCCGGCAUGUUGGGGCAUCGUUUUCCACGGAGGCUGGGGAGACUAUCCGCGCAACCCUGUUUCCUGGUGAUGGCAUCGGGCCUGAGAUCGCCGAGUCGGUCAAGCAGGUAUUCAAUGUUGCAGGUGUACCGAUAGAAUGGGAAGAACAUUAUGUUGGUACGGAAGUUGAUCCCAGAACAGAGAGCUUUUUGACAUGGGAGAGCCUGGAGUCGGUGCGUAGAAACAAAGUUGGCUUGAAAGGUCCUAUGGCUACACCUAUUGGAAAAGGCCACCGUUCUUUGAAUCUUACAUUAAGGAAAGAACUUGGACUCUACGCCAAUGUCAGACCUUGCAACAGCCUCCCAGGCUACAAGACUAGAUAUGAUGAUGUGAACCUUGUGACAAUCCGUGAAAAUACUGAAGGAGAGUAUAGUGGCCUUGAGCAUCAGGUUGUGAGGGGUGUUGUGGAAAGUUUGAAAAUUAUUACCCGCCAAGCAAGUUUGAGAGUGGCAGAUGGACUUUUCCUCAAGUGUUGCCGUGAAGUAGCUGAGAAGUACCCUGAAAUCACAUAUGAGGAAGUCAUUAUUGACAAUUGCUGCAUGACACUCGUGAAGAAUCCUGGUACAUUUGAUGUAUUAGUGAUGCCAAAUCUGUAUGGUGACAUUAUUAGUGAUCUAUGUGCUGGUUUGAUUGGAGGCUUGGGCUUAACUCCCAGCUGCAACAUUGGUGAAGGUGGCAUUUGUCUGGCAGAGGCUGUUCAUGGUUCUGCACCUGAUAUCUCUGGCAAGAACCUUGCAAACCCAACUGCUCUUAUGUUGAGUGCUGUUAUGAUGUUGCGCCACUUGCAAUUCAAUGACCAAGCAGACCGGAUCCACAAUGCCAUCCUCCAGACAAUUGCCGAGGGGAAGUACAGAACCGCUGAUCUUGGUGGGAAGUCAUCAACGUCAGACUACACAAAAGCAGUUUGCGAUCAUAUCUGA
RNAcentral lists this ribosomal RNA (1008 nucleotides) under Triticum aestivum (bread wheat). RNAcentral's name for it is "partial small subunit ribosomal RNA". Lineage: Eukaryota; Viridiplantae; Streptophyta; Magnoliopsida; Poales; Poaceae. The record is from RNAcentral.